CCUACGGGAGGCAGCAGUGGGGGAUAUUGGACAAUGGGGGGAACCCUGAUCCAGCGACGCCGCGUGAGUGAAGAAGUAUUUCGUUAUGUAAAGCUCUGUCAGCAGGGAAGAAAGAAAUGACGGUACCUGACCAAGAAGCCCCGGCUAACUACGUGCCAGCAGCCGCGGUAAUACGUAGGGGGCAAGCGUGAUCCGGAAUUACUGGGUGUAAAGGGAGCGUAGACGGUUAAGUAAGUCUGGAGUGAAAGGCCGGGGCUCAACCCCGGGAUUGCUGUGGAAACUAUUGAACUAGAGUGCAGGAGAGGUAAGCGGAAUGCAUGGUGUAGCGGUGAAAUGCGUAGAUAGUAGGAAGAACACCAGUGGCGAAGGCGGCUUACUGGACUGUAACUGACGUUGAGGCUCGAAAGCGUGGGGAGCAAACAGGAUUAGAUACCCCAGUAGUC
RNAcentral lists this ribosomal RNA (443 nucleotides) under uncultured bacterium. RNAcentral's name for it is "partial 16S ribosomal RNA". It matches the Rfam family "Bacterial small subunit ribosomal RNA", at positions 338 to 795 of the family's 1533-position model. The record is from RNAcentral.